GAUCAUUAAAAACGGAGUACUCGUACUCUACAACCCUUUGUGAACGUACCCGCGUCUAGUUGCUUCGGCGGGAGGCCCCUGGGAGGGGCCCCGGGGCCCGGCCAGAGCCGGGCUCCCGCCGGAGGAGCGCAAACAAAACUCUCUGCUGUACCCCAGUGGCACCUCCGAGUAGAAAAACAAAAACAAGUUAAAACUUUCAACAACGGAUCUCUUGGUUCUGGCAUCGAUGAAGAACGCAGCGAAAUGCGAUAAGUAAUGUGAAUUGCAGAAUUCAGUGAAUCAUCGAAUCUUUGAACGCACAUUGCGCCCGCCAGCAUUCUGGCGGGCAUGCCUGUUCGAGCGUCAUUUCAACCCCUCAGGCCCUGGUGCCUGGCGUCGGGGCGUUCCCCUCACCGGGAAGCCCCCAGAGACAGUGGCGGGCCCGCCGCGGCUCCGAGCGCAGUAGCAAAAUUCUCGCUCAGGAGGUCCGCGGGGGGGGUCUCCCGGCCGUAAAACAGGAAAGGUCCCGCCUCGGCGGACCGCACCCAACAAAGGUUGACCUCGGAUCAGGUAGGAAUACCCGCUGAACUUAAGCAUAUCAAUAAGCGGAGGAAAAGAAACCAACAGGGAUUGCCCCAGUAACGGCGAGUGAAGCGGCAACAGCUCAGAUUUGAAAUCUGGCCCCCAGGGCCCGAGUUGUAAUCUGUAGAGGAUGCUUCUGGCGAGGCGCCGUCCGAGUUCCCUGGAACGGGACGCCACAGAGGGUGAGAGCCCCGUACAGGCGGACGCCGAGCCGAUGUGAAGCUCCUUCGACGAGUCGAGUAGUUUGGGAAUGCUGCUCAAAGCGGGAGGUAAAUUUCUUCUAAAGCUAAAUAUAGGCCAGAGACCGAUAGCGCACAAGUAGAGUGAUCGAAAGAUGAAAAGCACUUUGAAAAGAGGGUUAAAAAGCACGUGAAAUUGUUGAAAGGGAAGCGCCUGUGACCAGACUCGCGCCCGGCGGAUCAUCCGGCGUUCUCGCCGGUGCACUCCGCCGGGCUCGGGCCAGCAUCGGUUCCAGCGGGGGGAUAAAGGCGGCGGGGAUGUGGCUCCCCCGGGAGUUAAAGGCCCGCCGCUCAAUGCCCUCGCCGGGACCGAGGACCGCGC
RNAcentral lists this ribosomal RNA (1122 nucleotides) under fungal sp. F560. Its description in RNAcentral is "eukaryotic LSU rRNA". The stretch from base 536 to 1122 matches the Rfam family "Eukaryotic large subunit ribosomal RNA", at positions 1 to 600 of the family's 3401-position model. The record is from RNAcentral. Lineage: Eukaryota; Fungi.